GGGGGCGUAGCUCAGUUGGGAGAGCGAUGCGUUCGCAACGCAUAGGUCAAGGGUUCGAAUCCCUCCGUCUCCACCA
RNAcentral lists this transfer RNA (76 nucleotides) under Bacillota bacterium. RNAcentral describes it as "tRNA-Ala". It matches the Rfam family "tRNA". From Rfam's summary of the family: Transfer RNA (tRNA) molecules are approximately 80 nucleotides in length. Their secondary structure includes four short double-helical elements and three loops (D, anti-codon, and T loops). Further hydrogen bonds mediate the characteristic L-shaped molecular structure. tRNAs have two regions of fundamental functional importance: the anti-codon, which is responsible for specific mRNA codon recognition, and the 3' end, to which the tRNAs corresponding amino acid is attached (by aminoacyl-tRNA synthetases). tRNAs cope with the degeneracy of the genetic code in two manners: having more than one tRNA (with a specific anti-codon) for a particular amino acid; and 'wobble' base-pairing, i.e. permitting non-standard base-pairing at the 3rd anti-codon position. The record is from RNAcentral. RNAcentral also lists the same sequence under 1 other name. Lineage: Bacteria; Bacillati; Bacillota.